UGCUAUGCAGCCAGAGGGGAUAUAUUAUUGUAUUAAGUUUAACUUUGACUUAAAUAAUGCCUGGACCUACACACAUUUUAUACGGAACUUAAUUUAAGGGAUUUUCUCUGUUUUACCAUUUUGUCUUGUGAUAUGAACGUUACACACGCGUGUCAUCGCUGACGUCAGACCUACGCAGUACGGUAGUUACAUCACGUUGCCGGCUCGCCUCUUCCUCCACACUACGUGCGAUCUGAAGCUCUGAAGACUGCCAAACAUUUUUAGGGACAAUUUGUUUUCAGGCGAAACAUUUGACGACACAUCCCGUUAACAGUCAAGAUGUCUGAUUAUGAAGAGAAUGAAUCCAAGUUCAUGCGAAAGGCAAAGGAGAAUCCAUUUGUCCCAGUGGAAUGGCUUGAUUCUUUGCCAUUGGGGUCUUGUUGAGACUGAUCGAUAAUGAAACAAAUUAUUCGUGCAUCAAAAAUGUCAGUUUCACUCUGUCACAUUGGCGUGUUAGGUGCCCAAGGCUUUGUGGUUGGUGCCAAUAACCGUUGGGGUUCUGUAUUCAAUGUACAAAGAUUACAUUGUGAAACCCAGGAGAAGAACGGAAAAGCCUUGAAAGACAAGCUGACAUGACCUCUAAGAUGGACAUUUAUUAUCCUUUAAAUAUUACCUCAUGUUAAGGGUGUUGAAGGUUUAUUUUUACAGAGUGUGAUAUAUUUUGUAUGCACACAUCCCGUUUGCAGCUCAUUUCUACUGUAAAUUGGUCUUCCCAAUUGAGUACCUCUAAUUGGCCUUCCUCUAAUGCUCCGUUUCAGCUGAACUCAACUUCACUUUGUUCUUUACUCCCCAAUUUCAAAUUGUACCGCUGAAAGAAUCGCACUCAUGCAGGUUGGAUACUCCGCUGAUCAGGCAUGCAGGGAAUUGUGUGAUCUGCUGUCAGAUUCUCAAUCAACAAUGAUUUCGGGAUCUUUUCUUUUUUCCCCCAAAAUAGAGAACGUUUUGCACUUUUGUAAAAUGUCUUAGUGUACGACUUUGGUAUAAGUGUUCAGUCCAAUUGUUUGGGGGGGUUUUGAAGGUGAAUUAAUAAAAGCGGUAUUUAAUUGAA
This is a long non-coding RNA of Notothenia coriiceps (black rockcod), 1087 nucleotides long. RefSeq lists it as uncharacterized. Lineage: Eukaryota; Metazoa; Chordata; Actinopteri; Perciformes; Nototheniidae. The transcript is spliced from 4 exons. The record is from RefSeq and is a predicted model, not a curated record.